Molecule: long non-coding RNA, 1081 nt
Organism: Vicia villosa (hairy vetch)
Lineage: Eukaryota; Viridiplantae; Streptophyta; Magnoliopsida; Fabales; Fabaceae
Exons: 5
Source: RefSeq, a predicted model, not a curated record
CUUUAUGACUUAACUAUCUCACUAUCUUAACCUUCACCAUCUCCUUCACUUCAUCAAGCUCAAAAACUCAGGCUAACCCUCACUGAACCACCUUCAUUCUUUUCUCCAAAUCCCAACCCUAGAUUUCAACGGUAGCAUUACUUGUCCCAACCUUCUCUACAAAACCCCUGAUCUUCUCCGCGAGGACACCAAGAGUAAAUUGGGUCUUGAAAAGUCUACCACCGCGAGAUCCGGUACACACAAUCUCAAAAACUUCCACAUCCGGGAAAUUAAGCGUGAGUGGUGCUUGUUAUGCUCUCCCAUGCAUGAAUGGUGGGUCUAACCAUCAUCACUUACAGAUAAACCCCUAAUGGCUACUGAAAACACCUCAACCUGGAUCGAGUUAUCCUGUUCAGCACCAAUUCCAUUCGGGUUUUCCUUUCCGGAGCAUCCAACGACCCCACUCUCUCCUCUCAAUUCCGACAAACUUCCUCUGUUCUACUCGCCUAAGCCGAAAUAGUGCGAGACACUUCAUGCUAUCUGGAUCGCUUCUGACCCAUCCACCAGACCCGAAUUGACCCGACUCCUAUCCGGUACCGGCUUCGUCUUGUCAAUCCCUAAACCCAUAGAAAAGAGUGAAGAAUUGAAAGCAAGGUCAAAAAAGUUGGAAGAUUUAGCUGAGAGGAAAGCAUACAAGGAGCUUGUUAAGGAUAUUGGACCAAAGGAAGAUGUUCAUAAACAAUUAGGAUCAAUAAGGAUUUGGAUUAAUAAAUCACAAAUUUGGGAUGGAGUUUCAAUUUCAGUUACACGGAAGUAUCAUGGAAAAUUGGACUAUUUAGUAAACCAGACACAAAGCAAAUAUUGAUAUUUUGAAAAGAAACAAUGGAUAUUCAUGGUAGAAGACUAUGGAGCAAAAGUUAAAUACAUGGAAGAAGACUAUGGAGCAAAAGUUAGAUAUUGUUCUCAAACAUGAUUGUACACUAUGAGUAUAAUUUUUACAUCUACAGUUUAAUAAUUUAUUUUUAUUCUUAGUAUUAUAGAAAAUUCUUUUACAAAUAAUUAAAGUAUAUUUGCAAUUUUACUUUUAACAAAAAAACCUCAU